Molecule: long non-coding RNA, 220 nt
Filed under: Mytilus galloprovincialis (Mediterranean mussel)
Lineage: Eukaryota; Metazoa; Mollusca; Bivalvia; Mytilida; Mytilidae
Source: RNAcentral
UCCACUUCCAUACAAAAGUAUCGGCUCAACAACUGUUGAAUAAAGCUUCGUAUAAACGCCAUGUGUCAUUCCACCAGCAGCCACAACUUUACCGCACAAUGCACCUAAUGCUCUACUGGCUGAUUUUGACAGUUCUCUCGCGUUCUUCCGAAAUGUUAGAUGCUCGUCUAACCAUAUUCCAAGAUACUUGUAUGAAUCUAUUUUCAUUAUGUUGUGUCCA